Molecule: ribosomal RNA, 442 nt
Filed under: uncultured bacterium
Lineage: Bacteria
Description: partial 16S ribosomal RNA
Rfam family: Bacterial small subunit ribosomal RNA
Source: RNAcentral
CCUACGGGAGGCAGCCGUAGGGAAUCUUUCACAAUGGGCGAAAGCCUGAUGGAGCAACGCCGCGUGCAUGAUGAAGGCCUUCGGGUUGUAAACUGCUUUUAUAAGCGAGAAAUAUGAUGGUAACUUAUGAAUAAGGAUCGGCUAACUACGUGCCAGCAGCCGCGGUCAUACGUAGGAUCCGAGCAUUAUCCGGAGUGACUGGGUGUAAAGAGUUGCGUAGGUGGCAUAAUAAGUAGCUAGUGAAAUCUGGUGGCUCAACCAUUCAGACUAUUAGCUAAACUGUUAAGCUCGAGACCGUUAGGGGUAACUGGAAUUUCUAGUGUAGGAGUGAAAUCCGUAGAUAUUAGAAGGAACACCAAUAGCGUAGGCAGGUUGCUGGGACGGUUCUGACACUAAGGCACGAAAGCGUAGGGAGCAAACGGGAUUAGAUACCCGGGUAGUC